AUGGCGUCCUCCUCCUCCGCGACGUCCGGCGACGACCGGCCGCCGGCCGCCGGGGGCGGGACCCCCGCGCAGGCGCACGCGGAGUGGGCCGCCUCGAUGCACGCCUACUACGCGGCCGCCGCCUCCGCCGCCGGACACCCCUACGCCGCGUGGCCGCUGCCGCCGCAGGCCCAGCAGCACGGCCUGGUGGCGGCCGGGCCGGGGGCGGCGUACGGCGCGCCGGUGCCGUUCCCCAUGUACCACCACCCCGCGGCGGCGUACUACGCGCACGCGCACGCCUCCAUGGCCGCGGGGGUGCCUUACAUGGCCGGCGAGUCUGCGUCGGCGGCGGGGAAAGGGAAGAGGGUGGGGAAGACACAGCGUGUCCCUUCCGGCGAGAUCAAUUCCAGCUCCGGGAGUGGCGAUGCCGGGAGCCAGGGGUCAUCGGAGAAGGGAGACGCCGGCGCCAAUCAGAAGGGCUCAUCAUCAUCCGCCAAGAGGAGAAAGUCCGGCGCUGCGAAAACAGAAGGUGAACCAUCUCAGGCUGCCACAGUGCAGAAUGCUGUAACCGAGCCGCCAUUGGAAGACAAGGAGAGGUCUGCAUCCAAACUGUUGGUUUUGGCGCCUGGGAGGGCGGCACUCACCAGUGCUGCACCAAACUUGAAUAUUGGGAUGGAUCCCUUGAGCGCUUCUCCAUCCUCCUUGGUGCAGGGGGAGGUGAACGCCGCAGCUUCUUCCCAGAGUAACGCUUCGCUGUCUCAGAUGGAUGAACGGGAACUGAAGAGGGAGAGAAGGAAACAAUCCAACAGAGAGUCUGCAAGGAGAUCAAGAUUACGCAAACAGCAAGAAUGCGAAGAGUUAGCCCAGAAGGUAAGUGAGCUGACCGCAGCGAAUGGCACGCUCAGAUCAGAACUCGACCAGCUUAAGAAGGACUGCAAAACCAUGGAAACAGAAAAUAAAAAGCUGAUGGGUAAAAUACUAAGUCAUGAUGAUAAAAUGCAGCAGUCAGAGGGCCCUAGCGUUGUGACUACCCUGAGCAUCCAGGUCGAAGCGCCCGAGCCGCAUCAGGGAGGACACGGCAAAGCUUCAUAA
Molecule: ribosomal RNA, 1071 nt
Filed under: Triticum aestivum (bread wheat)
Lineage: Eukaryota; Viridiplantae; Streptophyta; Magnoliopsida; Poales; Poaceae
Description: partial small subunit ribosomal RNA
Source: RNAcentral